ACAGGCUUAACACAUGCAAGUCGAGGGGUAGCAUGGUCUUAGCUUGCUAAGGCUGAUGGCGACCGGCGCACGGGUGAGUAACACGUAUCCAACCUGCCGUCUACUCUUGGCCAGCCUUCUGAAAGGAAGAUUAAUCCAGGAUGGCAUCAUGAGUUCACAUGUCCGCAUGAUUAAAGGUAUUUUCCGGUAGACGAUGGGGAUGCGUUCCAUUAGAUAGUAGGCGGGGUAACGGCCCACCUAGUCAACGAUGGAUAGGGGUUCUGAGAGGAAGGUCCCCCACAUUGGAACUGAGACACGGUCCAAACUCCUACGGGAGGCAGCAGUGAGGAAUAUUGGUCAAUGGGCGAUGGCCUGAACCAGCCAAGUAGCGUGAAGGAUGACGG
Molecule: ribosomal RNA, 383 nt
Filed under: uncultured Bacteroides sp.
Lineage: Bacteria; Pseudomonadati; Bacteroidota; Bacteroidia; Bacteroidales; Bacteroidaceae
Description: bacterial SSU rRNA
Rfam family: Bacterial small subunit ribosomal RNA
Source: RNAcentral